AACACCUGGAUGUUAGCUAACAGGUGAGCAGCUCAGUGCUAACAGGUGAGCAGCUCAGUGCUAACAGGUGAGCACCUCAGUGCUAACAGGUGAGCAGCUCAGUGCUAACAGGUGUUAGAACAGGUGAGCAGCUCAGUGCUAACAGGUGAGCAGCUCAGUGCUAACAGAUGUUAGAACAGGUGAGCAGCUCAGUGCUAACAGGUGAGCAGCUUAGUGCUAACAGGUGAGCAGCUCAGUGCUAACAGGUGUUAGAACAGGUGAGCAGCUCAGUGCUAACAGGUGAGCAGCUCAGUGCUAACAGAUGUUAGAACAGGUGAGCAGCUCAGUGCUAACAGGUGAGCAGCUUAGUGCUAACAGGUGAGCAGCUCAGUGCUAACA
This is a long non-coding RNA of Sebastes umbrosus (honeycomb rockfish), 378 nucleotides long. RefSeq lists it as uncharacterized. The record is from RefSeq and is a predicted model, not a curated record. Lineage: Eukaryota; Metazoa; Chordata; Actinopteri; Perciformes; Sebastidae. The transcript has 3 exons.